Long non-coding RNA from Brassica napus (rape), 591 nucleotides. RefSeq lists it as uncharacterized. NCBI's taxonomy places the organism in Eukaryota, Viridiplantae, Streptophyta, Magnoliopsida, Brassicales, Brassicaceae. The record is from RefSeq and is a predicted model, not a curated record. The transcript is spliced from 3 exons.
UAAAGAAGAGAAUGGAAGAACUCUAGAGAAACAGAAAAUUAUCGAUGCUUUUUUGAUAUAUAUUAUUAGUACAGGCCAUGAAUCCUCUGGACUCACCAUUAUUUGGGCUUCCAUUUCUCUGCAGGAACACCCUAAGAUUCUCCAGAAGUUAGAGGGAGAACAAGAUGCUAUUGUUGAAAAUUGAGCACCGGACCAGGAUUUGACUCUUAAAAGAGACAUGUAAAAUGGACUAACUAUCACAGGUGCCUCAUUGCAAAACAAGUUUAUGGUGUUUUUAAAAAGGUAUGAUUCGUUACAUAUUCUCUCACUGAAUACAAAAUGAGGCUUUUUAUGAAGGUUCUGAUGAGACACUUUGGGUACAUUCUAUCUAAGGCCUUCCGGGAAGCAAAGAGGGAUGGCCAAAUGAACGGCAUACAUCAUACCAAAAGGCUGGAAGGUGAUGACUUGGUUCAUGUAAGUUCACCUGGAUCUUGAGAUUGGCAUGAAUCCAAAUAAAUAUGAACCUUCAAGAUGGGAGGUAUGUAGAUAUAAUAGAUUUGUGACGCAUUCAACAAUCUAACUGUCUUUGUAAUUUGAAGUUGGUGUUGCAAA